This 497-nucleotide ribosomal RNA is filed under the name uncultured bacterium. RNAcentral's name for it is "partial 16S ribosomal RNA". It matches the Rfam family "Bacterial small subunit ribosomal RNA", at positions 28 to 507 of the family's 1533-position model. The record is from RNAcentral.
GAUGAACGCUGGCGGCGUGCCUAAUACAUGCAAGUCGAGCGAACAGACGAGGAGCUUGCUCCUCUGACGUUAGCGGCGGACGGGUGAGUAACACGUGGAUAACCUACCUAUAAGACUGGGAUAACUUCGGGAAACCGGAGCUAAUACCGGAUAAUAUAUUGAACCGCAUGGUUCAAUAGUGAAAGACGGUUUUGCUGUCACUUAUAGAUGGAUCCGCGCCGCAUUAGCUAGUUGGUAAGGUAACGGCUUACCAAGGCGACGAUGCGUAGCCGACCUGAGAGGGUGAUCGGCCACCCUGGAACUGAGACACGGUCCAGACUCCUACGGGACGCAGCAGUAGGGAAUCGUCCGCAAUGGGCGAAAGCCUGACGGAGCAACGCCGCGUGAGUGAUGAAGGUCUUCGGAGCGUAAAACUCUGUUAUUAGGGAAGAACAAAUGUGUAAGUAACUAUGCACGUCUUGACGGUACCUAAUCAGAAAGCCACGGCUAACUACGUG